GACAGAGGGUGCAAACGUUGUUCGGAAUUACUGGGCGUAAAGCGAGUGUAGGCGGUCUGUAAAGUCAGGUGUGAAAGCCCCGGGCUCAACCCGGGAAGUGCACUUGAAACUCACAGGCUAGAGUAUCGGAGAGGUUGGUGGAAUUCUCGGUGUAGAGGUGAAAUUCGUAGAUAUCGAGAGGAACACCGGCGGCGAAGGCGGCCAACUGGACGAAUACUGACGCUGAGACUCGAAAGCGUGGGGAGCGAACAGG
This 253-nucleotide ribosomal RNA is filed under the name uncultured bacterium. RNAcentral describes it as "partial 16S ribosomal RNA". It matches the Rfam family "Bacterial small subunit ribosomal RNA", at positions 524 to 776 of the family's 1533-position model. The record is from RNAcentral.